AUUGAACGCUGGCGGCAUGCCUUACACAUGCAAGUCGAACGGCAGCACGGGGGCAACCCUGGUGGCGAGUGGCGAACGGGUGAGUAAUGCAUCGGAACGUGUCCUCUUGUGGGGGAUAAGCCAGUCGAAAGAUUGGCUAAUACCGCAUGAGAUCGAAAGAUGAAAGCGGGGAGCCGCAAGGCCUCGCGCGAGAGGAGCGGCCGAUGCCGGAUUAGCUAGUUGGUGGGGUAAUGGCCCCACCAAGGCGACGAUCCGUAGCUGGUCUGAGAGGACGACCCAGCCACACUGGGGAACCUGAGACACGGGCCCCAGACUCCUACGGGAGGCAGCAGUGGGGAAUUUUGGGACAAUGGGCGCAAGCCUGAUCCAGCCAUGCCGCGUGUGUGAAGAAGGCCUCGGGUUGUAAAGCACUUUCGGACGGAACGAAAUCGCGUGCAUGAACAAUGGCGCGUGGAUGACGGUACCGUAAGAAGAAGCACCGGCUAACUACGUGCCAGCAGCCGCGGUAAUACGUAGGGUGCAAGCGUUAAUCGGAAUUACUGGGCG
RNAcentral lists this ribosomal RNA (546 nucleotides) under uncultured bacterium. Its description in RNAcentral is "bacterial SSU rRNA". It matches the Rfam family "Bacterial small subunit ribosomal RNA", at positions 28 to 560 of the family's 1533-position model. The record is from RNAcentral.